RNAcentral lists this ribosomal RNA (244 nucleotides) under uncultured Staphylococcus sp. Its description in RNAcentral is "partial 16S ribosomal RNA". It matches the Rfam family "Bacterial small subunit ribosomal RNA", at positions 96 to 334 of the family's 1533-position model. Lineage: Bacteria; Bacillati; Bacillota; Bacilli; Caryophanales; Staphylococcaceae. The record is from RNAcentral.
CGGCGGACGGGUGAGUAACACGUGGAUAACCUACCUAUAAGACUGGGAUAACUUCGGGAAACCGGAGUUAAUACCGGAUAAUAUAUUGAACCGUAUGGUUCAAUAGUGAAAGACGGUUUUGCUGUCACUUAUAGAUGGAUCCGCGCCGCAUUAGCUAGUUGGUAAGGUAACGGCUUACCAAGGCAACGAUGCGUAGCCGACCUGAGAGGGUGAUCGGCCACACUGGAACUGAGACACGGUCCAG